GAUACGACCGUACCGCAAACCGACACUGGUGCGCGAGAUGAGUAUUCUAAGGCGCUUGAGAGAACUCAGGAGAAGGAACUCGGCAAAUUGACACCGUAACUUCGGAAGAAGGUGUGCCCUAUUAGUGUGUAGUGAACAACGAAGCAUGAAUGGGUUGCAAAAAAUCGGUGGCUGCGACUGUUUAUUAAAAACACAGCACUCUGCAAACACGAAAGUGGACGUAUAGGGUGUGACGCCUGCCCGGUGCUGGAAGAUUAAAUGAUGGGGUGCAAGCUCUUGAUUGAAGUCCCAGUAAACGGCGGCCGUAACUAUAACGGUCCUAAGGUAGCGAAAUUCCUUGUCGGGUAAGUUCCGACCUGCACGAAUGGCGUAACGAUGGCCACACUGUCUCCUCCUGAGACUCAGCGAAGUUGAAAUGUUUGUGAUGAUGCAAUCUCCCCGCGGAAAGACGGAAAGACCCCAUGAACCUUUACUGUAGCUUUGUAUUGGACUUUGAACAGAUCUGUGUAGGAUAGGUGGGAGGCUUUGAAGCAGGGUCGCUAGAUCUUGUGGAGCCAACGUUGAAAUACCACCCUGGUGUGUUUGAGGUUCUAACCUAGGUCCAUUAUCUGGAUCGGGGACAGUGCAUGGUAGGCAGUUUGACUGGGGCGGUCUCCUCCCAAAGCGUAACGGAGGAGUUCGAAGGUACGCUAGUUACGGUCGGACAUCGUGACGAUAGUGCAAUGGCAUAAGCGUGCUUAACUGCGAGACUGACAAGUCGAGCAGAUGCGAAAGCAGGACAUAGUGAUCCGGUGGUUCUGUAUGGAAGGGCCAUCGCUCAACGGAUAAAAGGUACUCUGGGGAUAACAGGCUGAUACCGCCCAAGAGUUCAUAUCGACGGCGGUGUUUGGCACCUCGAUGUCGGCUCAUCUCAUCCUGGGGCUGUAGCCGGUCCCAAGGGUAUGGCUGUUCGCCAUUUAAAGAGGUACGUGAGCCGGGUUUAAAACGUCGUGAGACAGUUUGGUCCCUAUCUUCCGUGGGCGCUGCAGAUUUGAGGAAGCCUGCUCCUAGUACGAGAGGACCGGAGUGGACACACCUCUGGUGUAUCGGUUGUCACCCAGUGGCAUUGCCGAGUAGCUAAGUGUGGAAGAGAUAACCGCUGAAAGCAUCUAAGCGGGAAACUCGUUUCAAGAUGAGAUCUGCCGGGGCCUUGAGCCCCCUAAAGAGUCGUUCAAGACCAGGACGUUGAUAGGUCAGGUGUGGAA
This 1244-nucleotide ribosomal RNA is filed under the name metagenome. RNAcentral describes it as "bacterial LSU rRNA". It matches the Rfam family "Bacterial large subunit ribosomal RNA", at positions 1635 to 2872 of the family's 2925-position model. The record is from RNAcentral.